CGAACGCUGGCGGCGUGCUUAACACAUGCAAGUCGCACGGAAAGGCCCUGCUUUUGUGGGGUGCUCGAGUGGCGAACGGGUGAGUAACACGUGAGUAACCUGCCCUUGACUUUGGGAUAACUUCAGGAAACUGGGGCUAAUACCGGAUAGGAGCUCCUGCUGCAUGGUGGGGGUUGGAAAGUUUCGGCGGUUGGGGAUGGACUCGCGGCUUAUCAGCUUGUUGGUGGGGUAGUGGCUUACCAAGGCUUUGACGGGUAGCCGGCCUGAGAGGGUGACCGGCCACAUUCGGACUGAGAUACGGCCCAGACUCCUACGGGAGGCAGCAGUGGGGAAUAUUGCACAAUGGGCGGAAGCCUGAUGCAGCAACGCCGCGUGCGGGAUGACGGCCUUCGGGUUGUAAACCGCUUUCGCCUGUGACGAAGCGUGAGUGACGGUAAUGGGUAAAGAAGCACCGGCUAACUACGUG
Molecule: ribosomal RNA, 466 nt
Filed under: uncultured bacterium
Lineage: Bacteria
Description: partial 16S ribosomal RNA
Rfam family: Bacterial small subunit ribosomal RNA
Source: RNAcentral